GUGCCAGCCGCCGCGGUAAUACGAAGGGUGCGAGCGUUAUUCGGAUUUAUUGGGCGUAAAGGGUGCGUAGGUGGUAUGUUAAGUCUGUUGUUAAAUUUUCCGGCCUAACUGGAAACAUGCAGUGGAAACUGGCGUACUAGAGAGUGGAAGAGGGAAGUGGAAUUCUCGGAGUAGCGGUAAAAUGCGUGGAUCUCGAGAGGAACACCGAUGGCGAAGGCAGCUUCCUGGUCCAUUUCUGACACUGAGGCACGAAAGCGUGGGGAGCAAACAGGAUUAGAUACCCUGGUAGUCCACGCUGUAAACGAUGAUCACUGGACGUUGGUCUGGCUUAGCCGGAUCAGUGUCGAAGCUAACGCGUUAAGUGAUUCGCCUGGGAACUACGAUCGCAAGAUUAAA
Molecule: ribosomal RNA, 396 nt
Filed under: uncultured bacterium
Lineage: Bacteria
Description: bacterial SSU rRNA
Rfam family: Bacterial small subunit ribosomal RNA
Source: RNAcentral